Cebus imitator (Panamanian white-faced capuchin) is the source of this 1579-nucleotide long non-coding RNA. RefSeq lists it as uncharacterized. NCBI's taxonomy places the organism in Eukaryota, Metazoa, Chordata, Mammalia, Primates, Cebidae. The transcript is spliced from 2 exons. The record is from RefSeq and is a predicted model, not a curated record.
CAAGCCCUAACUGUGCCAGGGUUCUGCUUAGCUCUCAUUCCUCGGUGCCUAUAUGGGGGGGUUACCCACACAGGAGGAGGCAGCAGGUGGCCGGGCGCAGGGAUGUGCUAACCCCUGCCACCAGGGGAGCUGGGGACAGGGGGGUCCCAGACACUCUAUCCUUUGCAGCGAGUCAGGUUGUGAUUUACUGGGAGGUGGUGGACAAAAUAGAGAGGCUUCUGGGGAGAAAUUCCUGGCUCCGCGGUGGACUUGCAGAGCUCAAGAGGCAACCACGUGGUAGAAGGUGCAAGGAACUUCAAUAAGGCUUUGGGCCCUGUAGGUGGGGCUGCCAUGAGCAGCAAGCUCAGUCCAGAAGAGCAGUUCCUCUCCAGCAUCCACUUCCUGCACAGUUAUACAUCGUAAGUAGCUGGAGCAGAGCACCCCGGCAUUCCGCAGGCAGCUAAGAACCAGAGAGCAAUGCAGGCCAGCUAGGAAUCCAGCGUCUCCCCCAGGACCCCCCCCCCCCCCGCACAACUCGUUAGUGCGUCGUUAUCAUGUCUGCUUGGCCCCAGCCCCGUCCCACUGUCCUGGCUUGUUCCAAGAACUUCUGUGUUCUCCAGCUUUGGUUUCAGCUGCAGCGCUGUCUGGUCCCCACGUUGGGCAACUCCAGCCGAGAUUCCUACACCCAAAUGUGACUCUGUUGCCUGAGGAGAAACCUCAGCUUUGGGUGUGCCAAGCCAUGUGCACAGCUCAUCCCAACCCCCGCAGGCCCGCCUGCCUCUCCCGCCUCCAGUCCUCCCCUGUGAUGAACAGAUGCCCACUGCCCUCCAGGGUUUGGCCAAGCAUGUGCCUGUCCCCUAGCCUCCUGUGGUUGAGCCUGCCAUGUACCUGCACACAGGAGGGGCUCCUGGCGUUUGCCCUACAUGAUGGGCUAUCUUGGGAGCUGCUGGAGAGUCACCUUGGUGGGGAUGCCAGAGGCCUGGGUUCCCCCAGCCAGCCUCAGUUUCCACAUGGAGUCUUUUUGCCCAUCACAUGGGACAACCUAGUAUUGGGGGAAAACUCAGUCCAUGGGGGAAAACUCAGUCCACCCUAAAGAAGCAUUGGCGUUUUAGAUGGAUGAAUGCUGCUUCAUGUGACUCAAUGUCAAUGGACUCUAUUUAUUCAACGCAGCUAUUUAUGUGAGUCUCCUCUGUUCCAGGCACGUGUGAAAGAAAAACUCCCCAAGUUGCUUGACACCGGGACAAACCAGGAAGUUCACUGCGUCUGGUUCCUCCUGCCAACUCACCCAGGCUACUGUUCCAUUUCCUGGCACAGAGUGGGGGGCGAGCUCCUCAGUACCCAGAGCGUCUGGUGUGUAGCCAAAGGCCUCCAGUUUAUUGGCCUGUAUGUUCAGUGUCACGCUCAAGACAAGGGCCACCCUAUCACUUCACAUACCUCAAAUACAGAAAGUGCCUGGAAAUGUUGAUAAGGGGAGUUUCCCUGAACAAGCACUCUUCUCUUGUCUACUGCCAUGUUAGAUGUGCCUUUCCACCAUGAUGAUGAGGUCUCCCCAGCCAUGUGGAACUGUGAGUCCAUUAAACCUCUUUUUCCUUAUAAAUUA